GACGAACGCUGGCGGCGUGCCUAAUACAUGCAAGUCGAGCGGACCUCUUCGGAGGUCAGCGGCGGACGGGUGAGUAACACGUGGGCAACCUGCCUGUAAGACUGGGAUAACUCCGGGAAACCGGAGCUAAUACCGGAUACUAUGUCAAACCGCAUGGUUUGACAUUCAAAGACGGUUUCGGCUGUCACUUACAGAUGGGACCGCGGCGCAUUAGCUAGUUGGUGGGGUAACGGCUCACCAAGGCGACGAUGCGUAGCCGACCUGAGAGGGUGAUCGGCCACACUGGGACUGAGACACGGCCCAGACUCCUACGGGAGGCAGCAGUAGGGAAUCUUCCGCAAUGGACGAAAGUCUGACGGAGCAACGCCGCGUGAGUGAUGAAGGUUUUCGGAUCGUAAAACUCUGUUGUCAGGGAAGAACAAGUGCCGGAGUAACUGCCGGCGCCUUGACGGUACCUGACCAGAAAGCCACGGCUAACUACGUGCCAGCCGCCGCGGUAA
This 500-nucleotide ribosomal RNA is filed under the name uncultured bacterium. RNAcentral's name for it is "partial 16S ribosomal RNA". It matches the Rfam family "Bacterial small subunit ribosomal RNA", at positions 28 to 523 of the family's 1533-position model. The record is from RNAcentral.